UUUUCAGCCGCCGCGGUAAUACGAAGGGGGCUAGCGUUGCUCGGAAUUACUGGGCGUAAAGCGCACGUAGGCGGCUUCUUAAGUCGGAGGUGAAAUCCUGGAGCUCAACUCCAGAACUGCCUUCGAUACUGGGAGGCUCGAGUCCGGGAGAGGUGAGUGGAACUGCGAGUGUAGAGGUGAAAUUCGUAGAUAUUCGCAAGAACACCAGUGGCGAAGGCGGCUCACUGGCCCGGUACUGACGCUGAGGUGCGAAAGCGUGGGGAGCAAACAGGAUUAGAUACCCCUGUAGUCC
This 292-nucleotide ribosomal RNA is filed under the name uncultured bacterium. RNAcentral's name for it is "partial 16S ribosomal RNA". It matches the Rfam family "Bacterial small subunit ribosomal RNA", at positions 505 to 796 of the family's 1533-position model. The record is from RNAcentral.